This 270-nucleotide unclassified non-coding RNA is filed under the name uncultured Botryosphaeria. RNAcentral describes it as "sequence contains ITS1". The stretch from base 1 to 105 matches the Rfam family "5.8S ribosomal RNA", at positions 50 to 154 of the family's 154-position model. The record is from RNAcentral. Lineage: Eukaryota; Fungi; Ascomycota; Dothideomycetes; Botryosphaeriales; Botryosphaeriaceae.
GAAAUGCGAUAAGUAAUGUGAAUUGCAGAAUUCAGUGAAUCAUCGAAUCUUUGAACGCACAUUGCGCCCUUUGGUAUUCCGAAGGGCAUGCCUGUUCGAGCGUCAUUACAACCCUCAAGCUCUGCUUGGUAUUGGGCACCGUCCUUUGCGGGCGCGCCUCAAAGACCUCGGCGGUGGCGUCUUGCCUCAAGCGUAGUAGAACAUACAUCUCGCUUCGGAGCGCAGGGCGUCGCCCGCCGGACGAACCUUCUGAACUUUUCUCAAGGUUGA